Molecule: ribosomal RNA, 253 nt
Filed under: uncultured bacterium
Lineage: Bacteria
Description: partial 16S ribosomal RNA
Rfam family: Bacterial small subunit ribosomal RNA
Source: RNAcentral
UACGUAGGGGGCUAGCGUUGUCCGGAAUCAUUGGGCGUAAAGCGCGUGUAGGCGGCCCGGUAAGUCCGCUGUGAAAGUCGGGGGCUCAACCCUCGGAUGCCGGUGGAUACUGUCGGGCUCGAGUACGGAAGAGGCGAGUGGAAUUCCUGGUGUAGCGGUGAAAUGCGCAGAUAUCAGGAGGAACACCAAUAGCGAAGGCAGCUCGCUGGGACGGUACUGACGCUGAGGCGCGAAAGCGUGGGGAGCGAACAGG